RNAcentral lists this ribosomal RNA (867 nucleotides) under uncultured Neocallimastigales. Its description in RNAcentral is "partial large subunit ribosomal RNA". It matches the Rfam family "Eukaryotic large subunit ribosomal RNA", at positions 1 to 639 of the family's 3401-position model. Lineage: Eukaryota; Fungi; Neocallimastigomycota; Neocallimastigomycetes; Neocallimastigales. The record is from RNAcentral.
CGCAUCUGUGCAUGCAGCAUAUCAAUAAGCGGAGGAAAAGUAAAUGCUGUAUACCUACGCUUAGGAUGUUGACGCGCGUGUGUGCGUGAGUCUAUACAUGACUCUGCGCAUAUCAAUAAGCGGAGGAAAAGAAACUAACAAGGAUUCCCUUAGUAACGGCGAGUGAAGCGGGAAGAGCUCAAAUUUGAAAUCUUCAAGGUUUUACCUUGACGAAUUGUAGUUUAAAGAAGUGUUUUCUGUUGAAGUUUUGGUAAAAGUUCUUUGGAAUAGGACAUCAUAGAGGGUGAGAAUCCCGUAUUUGACCAUUAUUUUCAGCUGUGUGAUACACUUUCAAAGAGUCGGAUUGUUUGGGAAUGCAGUCCAAAAUGGGUGGUAAAUUUCAUCUAAAGCUAAAUAUUGGCGAGAGACCGAUAGCGAACAAGUACCGUGAGGGAAAGAUGAAAAGAACUUUGAAAAGAGAGUUAAACAGUACGUGAAAUUGUCAAAAGGGAAGCGUUUGACACCAGUGUUGUUUUCUCGAAAGUCAAUUAAAAAGAGUUUGGAUUUUGUUGUGUAUUGACCUUAACAGCUUGCAUUUCAAUUUUCUUAGCUUUUUUUAAUGCACUUUUCGUUUAACAAGUCAACAUCAGUUUCUUUUGUUGUAAAAGGGUCAUUGGAAGGUGGCUUUCUCUUCGGAGAAAGUGUUUAUAGCCUUUGAUCUCUGCAAUCGGAGAGACUGAGGUCUGCAGCGUAGAUCCUUCGGGGUUAGAUACAUUUGUGCUAAGUUAUAGCUUUUUAUAGACAACUUGUUGACUAUGAUUAGUCUUGUAGCUUACUCGCUUAUGCUAUUUUACCUACGCUUAGGAUGUUGACGCGCGUGUGUGCGUG